GUUGUAUUGACGAAUAAAAUCCCUGCAUUUGGUUCGUUGGCGUCCAUGGCACUUUGAGCUGUAGUUCACAUCGUUACUAGGCAACGCUGACAGAUCCUGGCUAUCAUAUAUUUUACUGAUUUACGUAGAGAUCUGUGGUAUUUUAACUAUUAAAAUUUACCAGCAGUUGUUCAUAAAUAAAUUGCCACCCUGGCUUCCUCAAGGUAAGUUGGCUGUUUCGCUAAUACACGAUGAUGUAGCUGAACUAUUCGCAAUAAGUCCUAGAAUUAAUAAAAUUAUGAGUUUUUUAUUCGAAUCCAUAUUUUUACACUGAAAGCCAAAAACUAUAACGAAAAUUAUUAAAAUUACAUGUUCAAAUUUCAGAGUGAAGUUGGGGUGAAUAUGUACUUUUUUUAACCUUUCUGUAAACAUUUUUUCAAAAGAAGUCUGCAGUACAUUAAAAAAAAACUCAUAAUAAAUCUUAUUAUUAUAUUUGGCAAAUUUAUUACCUAUGAAUGCAAAUUCUCAUCUUAUACUACCCCCCCCUCCACAUAUUAAUUAAGCAAAUUUAAAUGCAUCUCAGUACCAUCUCUAAAAGGCUUAAUCAGGAAGCUGGAUGAUGUUUAUAUGAAGGUUGUGGAGCCUUGAAUGUUUUUGUGUAAAAUGCAUGUUAUAUGCAUGCUCCCCUGGGCCCUGGCACAUUAGAAUUUUAUUUUUGUACUGUAUGUACUUCCAUUUUUGUACAAUAAAGUUGUAAAAAAAAUAGAGUUAAUUAAAACGUCUUUUCUUUUUUGCGUUUUCUUAAGAGACCUUCGAGAAAAACUGGGAAAGAAGAGGCGGAAUUUGCAAGAAACGCUGGGACGAAACAAAAAAGAUGACCUCCAGGACACUGCAGGCAGAGAGGAAGACUCAGGAGAGACUCUGAAACGCUCACUGAGGGCUCAGAGGCAGAGGCGAAGGAGAAAAGUGCAUCCCUUGUUGCUUUUGUCAGUCGAUCGUCAGUCAUUCCUGUUUGAUACAAACUUGUUUGUUUGUUAG
RNAcentral lists this long non-coding RNA (1017 nucleotides) under Oryzias sinensis (Chinese medaka). RNAcentral's name for it is "lncRNA (ENSOSIG00000009268.1)". The record is from RNAcentral. Lineage: Eukaryota; Metazoa; Chordata; Actinopteri; Beloniformes; Adrianichthyidae.